UGGGUUAACGACCUUUUUAAUAGCUUUCUUCUCCCCACUCUCUCCCCAGGAUGUUACAGAGAGACUUGCAGCUUCCUGCAUCACAAAGGUUUGCUUAAAGUGAGACUGUUGAACAUUUCCCCAGAAAGUAGGACCUUAAAAAACCGGAGCUGGGUCAGCGGUCAAAGAGAUUUACAAGUUAGGACCAGAAUGACCCUAGUCCUUGUUUGCUCAUGACUUGGUCGGUCUGUUUGAUUUCAAGGAAAGCAAAUGAAAAACCAGAAGCCAAAUAUUUACUUAGGUCCCGGCUUCCGUCGGAGAACAGACCUGUGAGGAGGCUGCUACCAGGAGGAGGAGUCAUUUCAUGUCUUCGUACACGUUGUUCCCUAGACUGCCCUUUUCCUCUCGGUUGCCAAACACACCCCUAUUCAGUCUGCAAGGCCCAGAGCAAAUGCCACCUUUCUUCCCAUCCUCCCCCUUAGCACCCUGUGCUUACACAUCUCAGAGCCCUUGUCUUGCUGUGUCUUAACUGUUUGCAUGUCGAUUUCUCCCCAUGACUUGCAGUUCUUUAAGAACAGGGGCUAUGUCUUUCAUCUCCGUGGGAAAGAAAAAUGUUGGUUAUCAGAGCAGAGUCCCAGAGCCCAAAGAACAGCCCAGUGGCUUUCAAACGUUUUAAAAAUCACAAACUAGAGUAACAAAUGCAUGUUAUAUCAUGAUCCAGUAACAAAUAUGCACAUGUGUGCAGAUAGACAGAUGUCUGUAAAAUGGAAACGAAAUUUCCCAAAAUAAUAUACCACAUGCAGUGCUAAUAUCUGAGAUUCUGUUUUCUAGUUUAUUCUCUAUUCAUUUUUAAAAUGUGGAUUUGGUGCACCAAAUUGAUUUUAUGAUACAUUGAUGAAUGGCAACUUGCAGUUUGAGAAAUAUUAGUGUAGGUAACACUUCAUCUGCCAUCCCCCACCACCCUUGUUUUCUGAUUUUCUGUUUGUAUUUAUUGAAUGCUUCAAACUAGGGGAGGAAGGAGGAGUUUCUUUUUUUUUGUUUUGUUUUUUUUUUGAGAUGGAGUCUCGCUUUGUCACCCAAGCCCAGGCUGGAGUGUUGUGGUGCGAUCUCGGCUCACUGCAAGCUCUGCCUCCUGGGUUCAUGCCAUUUGGAAGGAGGAGUUUUGAUUGGGAGAUUGAGCAAGAAAGAGAGUGGGCAGAUCACUUGAGGUCAGGAGGUUGAGGCCAGCCUUGCCAACAUGGCUAACAUACAAAAUACAAAAAUUAGCUGGGCAUGGUGGCACACGCCUGUAAUCCCAGCUACUCAGGAAGCUGAGGCGGGAGAAUUACUUGAACCCGGAAUGUGGAGGUUGCAGUGAGCCAAGAUCUUGCCACUGUACUCCAACCUGGGCUCCAGAGAGAGACUCCAUCUCAAAAAAAUAAAAUAAAAAUAAGUUGGGGAUCAUCUGUAAACUUCAGGCACAAACAAGGCUACUUAAGGGUCUAGAUCAGGGGUCUACAAACUACAACCCUUGGGCCUAAUCUAUCCAUCCAUCUGUUUUUAUAAAUAAAGUUUUAUUGGAACACAAACACGCACAUUUGUUACAUACUGUCUAUAGCUGCUUCUGCUACAACUGCAGAGUUGAGUAGCUGCAAUUAAGACUGUAUAACCCACAAAGCCAGAAAUAUUUGCUAUCUGGGCCUUGACAGGAAAAGUUUACCAAUCCCUGGAAUAAAUGAAAAGUGUUUCUUACCACUCUGGGAGGAAACCAGGAUGGCUCUGAGGCAUCUAAAGCAGAGUGUUAGGCAUGGGCAGUAUCCUUCUCAAAAGAGGGCAUAUUGGUCCCUUUCCAGCAUCCUCAGGCUGGGCUCAGGGGCCCCAGCAUCACAGCCUGAGCAGGAGAGCCUCAACAGGGAGAUUCUGGGUAGGGACUGCUGGUGCAGGUACACUACUGCCCUUGGAAGGACCUGGGAGCACUUAGGGUGUUUCUGGGACUAUGAAGAUGAGGGCUGUUGAGUCAGCUGACACUGGGAUUUCAUUUUCAUUCUUGUGCCUGGUGCAUGAAAGAAAGAUGCUUGGAGAGUGCUAAAUGUUUGCUAGAGAUUUCUUAAAUCAAAAAGGAAUUGGCAGCAUGUGGUAUAGAAACUGAGUUGUAUCACAGCCUCUCUCAAAGGCAAUGCCAGUAAAGAGUCCAGUGCCUGUAGCCGAGAACAGGAAUCCUCUCUCCUGAUUGGAGAAUAAGCCAUCUUUUCUCAGCUGCUUUGGCAACUAAUAUUAACGAUGAUGCGUAUAAUAAUAAUGAUUGUAACUAACAUUUACUGAAUGUUUAUCAAGCACCAUGCAAUAUUCUAGGUCCUUUACAUGUAACAAUUCACUUUAUUUUAUUUUAUUUAUUAUUUAUUUAUUAUUUUACUUUUUUCGAGACAGCAUCGCACUCUGUCUGGAACACAGUGGUGCGAUCUCAGUUCAUUGCAACCUCCGCCUCCCGGGCUCAAGCCAUCCUCCCACUUCAGCCUCCUGAGUAGCUGGGACCACAGGCAUAUGCCGCCACACCUAGCUAAUUUUUUUGUAUUUUUAAUACAGACAGGGUUUUUGCAUGUUCCCCAGGCCAGUCUCGAACUUCUGAGCUCAAGCAAUCUGUCUGCCUCAGCCUCCCAAAGCGCUGGGAUUACAGGCAUGAGCCACAGUGCCUGGCCACAAUUCAC
RNAcentral lists this long non-coding RNA (2663 nucleotides) under Homo sapiens (human). RNAcentral describes it as "HSALNT0181382". The record is from RNAcentral. Lineage: Eukaryota; Metazoa; Chordata; Mammalia; Primates; Hominidae.